RNAcentral lists this transfer RNA (77 nucleotides) under Thermofilum sp. RNAcentral's name for it is "tRNA-Gly". It matches the Rfam family "tRNA". Rfam says of the family: Transfer RNA (tRNA) molecules are approximately 80 nucleotides in length. Their secondary structure includes four short double-helical elements and three loops (D, anti-codon, and T loops). RNAcentral also lists the same sequence under 1 other name. The record is from RNAcentral. Lineage: Archaea; Thermoproteati; Thermoproteota; Thermoprotei; Thermofilales; Thermofilaceae.
GCGGCCGUAGUCUAGCCUGGUAGGAUGGCGGCCCCCCAAGCCGCAGGUCCCGGGUUCGAAUCCCGGCGGCCGCACCA